Long non-coding RNA from Gallus gallus (chicken), 965 nucleotides. The record is from Ensembl. NCBI's taxonomy places the organism in Eukaryota, Metazoa, Chordata, Aves, Galliformes, Phasianidae.
CCAAGCUGAUCCUGUUCCCCCCUUGUGCAGGUAUUGAGUCUGCACUUGGCCAAAAAAGCAAAAGAAGCGAGGCCAUCGGUUUUAGAUUUGCUGUGCUCUCUCCAAGAUACAUAAGAUGAGAAAGGAGGGGAAAGUAGGAGUGGUGGAGGGGAAAUGAGGAAGAAAAACAUCUUAGCGGUCACAACCUGGAUGAUGGCUGCCAGCACAGAUGGCUCUUGAAGCUCUGGGAAGAGGCUGAGCUUCACAGAACUGCUUCUUGGUGGGAACCUGCAGAAAUGGAUGGCAUGCCCAUAAGCCCCAUGGGCACACAGAUAGAGAACACCAUCAGGUUGCACAGAGAGCAUAACCUUUACAGCAAAGAGCUUUCAAAGGAUUUCCAUCCACUGCUACUAAUGCUAUUUCACAACUUUUGGAAGAGAAGAAAUUGCAUCAUAUGGGAUCUGGAAAAAGCUAAUUCCAGCUGAAAUGCAUUUGGCACAACAUUGAAUGACUUAGCUGGAGAACACAUGGAAGGCUCUGGGGUCAUGUCUGCAAGGAGUGGCACCUAACUCUAGUCCUCGUCUCAAAAUACAGCAUAAAGCCUAACUAGAACUGGCCCACAAUCAGAAUAUGUCCUCCACAGAAGUAUUCAGGAUAUUGAAAAAGAAAGCCUUUUGAGAUAAUCUUGGGUCUGUACAGCAAGCUAAUCACCAGCCUCAUCAGCCUAAGUAUUGAAACCAGUAGUACAGCAACAUAACAAAAACAGAUGACACAAACUCCCAAGCUCUGAAAAAAAGCAAUCAUAUGGAAAACUUAAAGAACUCUAUAUGAAAUCUGUUUCAAAUAAGAGGAGGAAGCAACAACCUCAUGCUGCGCCUUAAGGUAACUAGAGAUCAUGGUGUCUUCAUUUAGAAUAAGUCCCUGUAUGGUCUCACUUUUUGUGGAAGAGCAUCUGCACAAAGACCUUAUAUAAACUACAUUCCCAC